RNAcentral lists this ribosomal RNA (1069 nucleotides) under uncultured Enterococcus sp. RNAcentral's name for it is "bacterial SSU rRNA". It matches the Rfam family "Bacterial small subunit ribosomal RNA", at positions 336 to 1397 of the family's 1533-position model. Lineage: Bacteria; Bacillati; Bacillota; Bacilli; Lactobacillales; Enterococcaceae. The record is from RNAcentral.
CUCCUACGGGAGGCAGCAGUAGGGAAUCUUCGGCAAUGGACGAAAGUCUGACCGAGCAACGCCGCGUGAGUGAAGAAGGUUUUCGGAUCGUAAAACUCUGUUGUUAGAGAAGAACAAGGAUGAGAGUAAAAUGUUCAUCCCUUGACGGUAUCUAACCAGAAAGCCACGGCUAACUACGUGCCAGCAGCCGCGGUAAUACGUAGGUGGCAAGCGUUGUCCGGAUUUAUUGGGCGUAAAGCGAGCGCAGGCGGUUUCUUAAGCCUGAUGUGAAAGCCCCCGGCUCAACCGGGGAGGGUCAUUGGAAACUGGGAGACUUGAGUGCAGAAGAGGAGAGUGGAAUUCCAUGUGUAGCGGUGAAAUGCGUAGAUAUAUGGAGGAACACCAGUGGCGAAGGCGGCUCUCUGGUCUGUAACUGACGCUGAGGCUCGAAAGCGUGGGGAGCGAACAGGAUUAGAUACCCUGGUAGUCCACGCCGUAAACGAUGAGUGCUAAGUGUUGGAGGGUUUCCGCCCUUCAGUGCUGCAGCAAACGCAUUAAGCACUCCGCCUGGGGAGUACGACCGCAAGGUUGAAACUCAAAGGAAUUGACGGGGGCCCGCACAAGCGGUGGAGCAUGUGGUUUAAUUCGAAGCAACGCGAAGAACCUUACCAGGUCUUGACAUCCUUUGACCACUCUAGAGAUAGAGCUUCCCCUUCGGGGGCAAAGUGACAGGUGGUGCAUGGUUGUCGUCAGCUCGUGUCGUGGGAUGUUGGGUUAAGUCCCGCAACGAGCGCAACCCUUGAUCUUAGUUGCCAUCAUUAAGUUGGGCACUCUAAGGUGACUGCCGGUGACAAACCGGAGGAAGGUGGGGAUGACGUCAAAUCAUCAUGCCCCUUAUGACCUGGGCUACACACGUGCUACAAUGGACGGUACAAAGAGCUGCAAGACCGCGAGGUGGAGCUAAUCUCAUAAAACCGUUCUCAGUUCGGAUUGUAGGCUGCAACUCGCCUACAUGAAGCUGGAAUCGCUAGUAAUCGCGGAUCAGAAUGUCGCGGUGAAUACGUUCCCGGGCCUUGUACACACCGCCCGU